RNAcentral lists this ribosomal RNA (644 nucleotides) under uncultured Cellulomonas sp. RNAcentral's name for it is "bacterial SSU rRNA". It matches the Rfam family "Bacterial small subunit ribosomal RNA", at positions 232 to 886 of the family's 1533-position model. Lineage: Bacteria; Bacillati; Actinomycetota; Actinomycetes; Micrococcales; Cellulomonadaceae. The record is from RNAcentral.
CGCGGCCUAUCAGCUUGUUGGUGGGGUAAUGGCCUACCAAGGCGACGACGGGUAGCCGGCCUGAGAGGGCGACCGGCCACACUGGGACUGAGACACGGCCCAGACUCCUACGGGAGGCAGCAGUGGGGAAUAUUGCACAAUGGGCGCAAGCCUGAUGCAGCGACGCCGCGUGAGGGAUGACGGCCUUCGGGUUGUAAACCUCUUUCAGCAGGGAAGAAGCGCAAGUGACGGUACCUGCAGAAGAAGCGCCGGCUAACUACGUGCCAGCAGCCGCGGUAAUACGUAGGGCGCAAGCGUUGUCCGGAAUUAUUGGGCGUAAAGAGCUCGUAGGCGGUUUGUCGCGUCUGCUGUGAAAACUCGAGGCUCAACCUCGGGCUUGCAGUGGGUACGGGCAGACUAGAGUGCGGUAGGGGUGACUGGAAUUCCUGGUGUAGCGGUGGAAUGCGCAGAUAUCAGGAGGAACACCGAUGGCGAAGGCAGGUCACUGGGCCGCAACUGACGCUGAGGAGCGAAAGCAUGGGGAGCGAACAGGAUUAGAUACCCUGGUAGUCCAUGCCGUAAACGUUGGGCACUAGGUGUGGGGCUCAUUCCACGAGUUCCGUGCCGCAGCAAACGCAUUAAGUGCCCCGCCUGGGGAGUACGGA